RNAcentral lists this ribosomal RNA (496 nucleotides) under uncultured bacterium. RNAcentral describes it as "bacterial SSU rRNA". It matches the Rfam family "Bacterial small subunit ribosomal RNA", at positions 30 to 525 of the family's 1533-position model. The record is from RNAcentral.
AUUGAACGCUGGCGGCAGGCCUAACACAUGCAAGUCGAGCGCGAAAGUCUUCGGAUGAGUAAAGCGGCGAACGGGUGAGUAAUGCAUGGGAAUCUGCCUGGUAGUGGGGACAACGUCUCGAAAGGGACGCUAAUACCGCAUACGCCCUACGGGGGAAAGGGGGGAUCUUCGGACCUCUCGCUAUCAGAUGAGCCCAUGUCAGAUUAGCUAGUUGGUGAGGUAAAGGCUCACCAAGGCGACGAUCUGUAACUGGUCUGAGAGGAUGAUCAGUCACACUGGAACUGAGACACGGUACCAGACUCCUACGGGAGGCAGCAGUGGGGAAUAUUGGACAAUGGGGGCAACCCUGAUCCAGCCAUGCCGCGUGUGUGAAGAAGGCCCUAGGGUUGUAAAGCACUUUCAGUGGGGAGAAAGGUUAUUCACCUAAUACGUGAGUAGAUUGAUGUUACCCACAGAAGAAGCACCGGCUAACUCCGUGCCAGCAGCCGCGGUAAUC